RNAcentral lists this ribosomal RNA (153 nucleotides) under Eumeta japonica. RNAcentral describes it as "5.8S ribosomal RNA". It matches the Rfam family "5.8S ribosomal RNA". From Rfam's summary of the family: 5.8S ribosomal RNA (5.8S rRNA) is a component of the large subunit of the eukaryotic ribosome. It is transcribed by RNA polymerase I as part of the 45S precursor that also contains 18S and 28S rRNA. Functionally, it is thought that 5.8S rRNA may be involved in ribosome translocation. The record is from RNAcentral. Lineage: Eukaryota; Metazoa; Arthropoda; Insecta; Lepidoptera; Psychidae.
ACCCUGAACGGUGGAUCACUCGGCUCGCGGGUCGAUGAAGAACGCAGCCAACUGCGCGUCAUAGUGUGAACUGCAGGACACGCUCGAACAUCGACAUUUCGAACGCAAAUUGCGGUCCGCGGAGACACGUCCGGGACCACUCCUGUCUGAGGG